Molecule: transfer RNA, 77 nt
Filed under: Lachnospiraceae bacterium XBB2008
Lineage: Bacteria; Bacillati; Bacillota; Clostridia; Lachnospirales; Lachnospiraceae
Description: tRNA_Met_CAT
Rfam family: tRNA
About the family: Transfer RNA (tRNA) molecules are approximately 80 nucleotides in length. Their secondary structure includes four short double-helical elements and three loops (D, anti-codon, and T loops). Further hydrogen bonds mediate the characteristic L-shaped molecular structure. tRNAs have two regions of fundamental functional importance: the anti-codon, which is responsible for specific mRNA codon recognition, and the 3' end, to which the tRNAs corresponding amino acid is attached (by aminoacyl-tRNA synthetases). tRNAs cope with the degeneracy of the genetic code in two manners: having more than one tRNA (with a specific anti-codon) for a particular amino acid; and 'wobble' base-pairing, i.e. permitting non-standard base-pairing at the 3rd anti-codon position.
Source: RNAcentral
CGCGGAGUGGCGAGCAAUGGAAGCUCACCUGGCUCAUAACCAGGAGUAUGCAGGUCCGAGUCCUGUCUCCGCAAUCA